RNAcentral lists this ribosomal RNA (404 nucleotides) under Fusobacteriota bacterium. RNAcentral describes it as "Fusobacteria bacterium partial 16S ribosomal RNA". It matches the Rfam family "Bacterial small subunit ribosomal RNA", at positions 355 to 776 of the family's 1533-position model. Lineage: Bacteria; Fusobacteriati; Fusobacteriota. The record is from RNAcentral.
UGGGGAAUAUUGCACAAUGGAGGGAACUCUGAUGCAGCGACGCCGCGUGAGUGAUGAAGGAAUUCGUUUCGUAAAACUCUGUUCUAUGGGAAGAAAAGGACUGUACCAUAGGAGAAAGCUCCGGCUAAAUACGUGCCAGCAGCCGCGGUAAUACGUAUGGAGCGAGCGUUGUCCGGAAUUAUUGGGCGUAAAGGGUGCGCAGGCGGCUUUACAAGUUGGAUGUGAAAUAUUGUGGCUCAACCACAAACGUGCAUCCAAAACUGCCAAGCUUGAGUUAAGGAGAGGUAAGUGGAAUUCCUGGUGUAGCGGUGGAAUGCGUAGAUAUCAGGAGGAAUACCGGUGGCGAAGGCGACUUACUGGACUUAAACUGACGCUCAGGCACGAAAGCGUGGGGAGCAAACAGG